AGCUCAGUGGUUCAAUGGUAAAGCCCUCGUAGCGGAACCAGAAGGUCCUGGGUUCAAUCCCCAGCCGGGUCA
Molecule: transfer RNA, 72 nt
Filed under: Schistosoma japonicum
Lineage: Eukaryota; Metazoa; Platyhelminthes; Trematoda; Strigeidida; Schistosomatidae
Description: tRNA-OTHER
Source: RNAcentral